Molecule: ribosomal RNA, 253 nt
Filed under: uncultured bacterium
Lineage: Bacteria
Description: partial 16S ribosomal RNA
Rfam family: Bacterial small subunit ribosomal RNA
Source: RNAcentral
UACGUAGGGGGCAAGCGUUGUCCGGAAUCAUUGGGCGUAAAGCGCGUGUAGGCGGCCCGGUAAGUCCGCUGUGAAAGUCGGGGGCUCAACCCUCGAAUGCCGGUGGAUACUGUCGGGCUAGAGUGCGGAAGAGGCGAGUGGAAUUCCUGGUGUAGCGGUGAAAUGCGCAGAUAUCAGGAGGAACACCAAUUGCGAAGGCAGCUCGCUGGGACGCUACUGACGCUGAGACGCGAAAGCGUGGGGAGCAAACAGG